RNAcentral lists this ribosomal RNA (253 nucleotides) under uncultured bacterium. RNAcentral's name for it is "partial 16S ribosomal RNA". It matches the Rfam family "Bacterial small subunit ribosomal RNA", at positions 524 to 776 of the family's 1533-position model. The record is from RNAcentral.
UACGUAGGGAGCAAGCGUUGUCCGGAAUUAUUGGGCGUAAAGCGCGCGCAGGCGGUCCUUUAAGUCUGAUGUGAAAGCCCACGGCUCAACCGUGGAGGGUCAUUGGAAACUGGGGGACUUGAGUACAGAAGAGGAAAGCGGAAUUCCACGUGUAGCGGUGAAAUGCGUAGAGAUGUGGAGGAACACCAGUGGCGAAGGCGGCUUUCUGGUCUGUAACUGACGCUGAGGCGCGAAAGCGUGGGGAGCAAACAGG